GNUUGAAUUUGAUCAUGGCUCAGAAUCCNCGCUGGUUAGCGUGCCUAACACAUGCAAGUCGAACGCGAAAGGGGAGCAAUCCCUGAGUAGAGUGGCAAACGGGUGAGUAACACGUGGGUGACCUGCCUUCGAGUGGGGGAUAACGUCCCGAAAGGGACGCUAAUACCGCAUAACAUCCUGCUUUUGGAAAAGUGGAGAUCAAAGCCGGGGAUCGCAAGACCUGGCGCUUGAAGAGGGGCCCGCGCCUGAUUAGCUAGUUGGUGGGGUAAUGGCUCACCAAGGCAACGAUCAGUAUCCGGCCUGAGAGGGCGGACGGACACACUGGGACUGAGACACGGCCCAGACUCCUACGGGAGGCAGCAGUGGGGAAUUGUUCGCAAUGGGCUGCAAGCCUGACGACGCAACGCCAGAGUGGAGGACAGAAGAUCUUCAGAGAGUCGUAAAAUCUGUCG
RNAcentral lists this ribosomal RNA (452 nucleotides) under uncultured bacterium. RNAcentral's name for it is "bacterial SSU rRNA". It matches the Rfam family "Bacterial small subunit ribosomal RNA", at positions 1 to 437 of the family's 1533-position model. The record is from RNAcentral.